UUUCGUAUUAGUAGCCAGUGACAGAGUCAGCAUGCAGAAUUGUGUAGAUUCAGGAGUUGGGAGUUUGGAAACUUCCCAACAAUAGCUUCUUGUAUCCGGAUUAGUAGACGGUUGGUUUAGGAACCAAGCCGAAGAAUUCCUCGACGAAGCGCUAAGUAUAUCAAGGAUAUAAGAUGUCGAGGUUGAUGCAGUAUUCAAAGACAGAGGACUGGUUUUGAGAAAUCAGGAUGAGGAAUCACUAGCAGGACUAGGGAUAGUCAGGAUGUCCUCGGAAUAGUAGUAAAGUGUUGUAAGUCUACGGGGGUAGCCGUAGCAUUCACUAGCAGUUAGAUAGUAGUAGAGUGUUGUAAGUCUGCGGGGGUAGCCGUAGCAUUCACUAGCAGUUAGGUAGUAGUAGAGUGUUGUAAGUCUGCGGCGGUAGCCGUAGCAUUCACUAGCAGUUAGAUAGUAGUAGAGUGUUGUAAGUCUGCGGGGGUAGCCGUAGCAUUCACUAGCAGAUAGAUAGUAGUAGAGUGUUGUAAGUCUGCGGGGGUAGCCGUAGCAUUCACUAGCAGUCAAAUAGUAGUAGAGUGUUGUAAGUCUGCGGGGGUAGCCGUAGCAUUCACUGGCAGCCAGAUAGUAUUAG
RNAcentral lists this long non-coding RNA (625 nucleotides) under Lactuca sativa (garden lettuce). RNAcentral's name for it is "long non-coding RNA (LSAT_LNC005666)". The record is from RNAcentral. Lineage: Eukaryota; Viridiplantae; Streptophyta; Magnoliopsida; Asterales; Asteraceae.